AGGUGCAGGCAACCCACCCGGAGUGCUCCAUCGUUCUGCAUUUACAGGAACGAGAAGCUGAGUGUCUGGAAACAAUCAGGAGUGAAAACCAAAGCAACGAGUCUCCAGAGUCUUCCAGCUGGAAAGGCUGUUCGAGGGAGUGGGAUGGCGUCAGCUGCUGGCCGGCGGUGUCAGUUGGCCAGUCCCAAGCAGUGACCUGUCAAGAGAUCCUUCAAGUAUUCAAGAAAUCUCAAGUGUUGAUACGCAGGAACUGCACAGAGUCCGGCUGGAGCAGCCCCAGCCCC
This is a long non-coding RNA of Mauremys reevesii (Reeves's turtle), 284 nucleotides long. RefSeq lists it as uncharacterized. Lineage: Eukaryota; Metazoa; Chordata; Testudines; Geoemydidae. The transcript is spliced from 3 exons. The record is from RefSeq and is a predicted model, not a curated record.